UACGGAGGGUGCGAGCGUUGUCCGGAAUCACUGGGCGUAAAGGGCGCGUAGGUGGCCGAGCAAGGUCGCGGUGAAAGCCCGGGGCUCAACCCCGGGUCGGCCGUGGCAACUACUGGGCUGGAGCACUGUAGGGGCGGGUGGAAUUCCGGGUGUAGCGGUGGAAUGCGUAGAGAUCGGCAGGAACACCCAGGGGGAAACCAGUCGACUGGGCAUCUACUGACGCUGAGGUGCGAGAGCGUGGGGAGCGAACCGG
This 253-nucleotide ribosomal RNA is filed under the name uncultured bacterium. RNAcentral's name for it is "partial 16S ribosomal RNA". It matches the Rfam family "Bacterial small subunit ribosomal RNA", at positions 524 to 776 of the family's 1533-position model. The record is from RNAcentral.